UACGUAGGGCGCAAGCGUUGUCCGGAAUUAUCGGGCGUAAAGAGCUUGUAGGCGGUUUGUCGCGUCUGCUGUGAAAUCCCGAGGCUCAACCUCGGGCUUGCAGUGGGUACGGGCAGACUAGAGUGCGGUAGGGGAGACUGGAAUUCCUGGUGUAGCGGUGGAAUGCGCAGAUAUCAGGAGGAACACCGAUGGCGAAGGCAGGUCUCUGGGCCGCAACUGACGCUGAGGAGCGAAAGCAUGGGGAGCGAACAGG
This 253-nucleotide ribosomal RNA is filed under the name uncultured bacterium. RNAcentral describes it as "partial 16S ribosomal RNA". It matches the Rfam family "Bacterial small subunit ribosomal RNA", at positions 524 to 776 of the family's 1533-position model. The record is from RNAcentral.